CCUACGGGAGGCAGCAGCAGGGAAUUUUGCGCAAUGGGCGAAAGCCUGACGCAGCAACGCCGCGUGGGGGAUGAAGGCCUUCGGGUUGUAAACCCCUUUUGCCGGGGAAGAUCGUGACGGUACCCGGCGAAUAAGUCACGGCUAACUACGUGCCAGCAGCCGCUGUAAGACGUAGGAGGCAAGCGUUGUCCGGAAUUAUUGGGCGUAAAGCGCCCGUAGGCGGGGGUGAAAGUCGGGUGUGAAAUCCCCCGACCCAAUCGGGGACCCGCGCCCGAUACUCCCCUCCUGGAGGGAAGCAGAGGAAGGCGAAAUUCCCGGUGUAGCGGUAAAAUGCGUAGAUACCGGGAGGAACACCGUUGGCGAAGGCGGCCUUCGGGGCUUCUCCUGACGCGGAGGGGCGAAAGCCGGGGGAGCGAACCGGUUUAGAUACCCUGGUAGU
RNAcentral lists this ribosomal RNA (439 nucleotides) under uncultured bacterium. RNAcentral describes it as "partial 16S ribosomal RNA". It matches the Rfam family "Bacterial small subunit ribosomal RNA", at positions 338 to 794 of the family's 1533-position model. The record is from RNAcentral.